Molecule: ribosomal RNA, 188 nt
Filed under: Salmonella enterica
Lineage: Bacteria; Pseudomonadati; Pseudomonadota; Gammaproteobacteria; Enterobacterales; Enterobacteriaceae
Also listed under: 3 other names
Description: partial 23S ribosomal RNA
Rfam family: Bacterial large subunit ribosomal RNA
Source: RNAcentral
GGGUUGUGAGGUUAAGCGACUAAGCGUACACGGUGGAUGCCCUGGCAGUCAGAGGCGAUGAAGGGCGUGCUAAUCUGCGAUAAGCGCCGGUAAGGUGAUAUGAACCGUUAUAACCGGCGAUACCCGAAUGGGGAAACCCAGUGUGACUCGUCACACUAUCAUUAACUGAAUCCAUAGGUUAAUGAGGC